GAGGUCCAACUGGCCACUCACUUCCAGCUGAGAGACUGAGGGAAGAUGCAGAUAGCUUAGGCUUGGAAGAAGCCUGUCUCUUUGGAGAUCAACUGCCUCUUUCUAAACCCAUGGAUACCUCUCAUUCAACUCUCAAUAACAGCAUCAAAGCCAUUGGUGGAUUUUGUGGACUGGGAUUUUGAAGAGAGUCAUCCACAGAGAUCCUUUUGAAGGAUCUUUCUCUCUAUCUCUCUCUCCCUUACCUGUCCUUGGACUCCUGAAUUCAACCCCAAGGCACUGUCCAUCAGAAGCUCCUGAAAGAGAUAAAGGGGAAAGGUAUUGACUUGUGAUUUCUUUGGUAUGGAGAUCUAGUAUGUAAAUUGCCUCCACUGAUGCAGAAGAGGAAUUUGUAACUUGCUUCUUAAAAUAAUUACCUAAAACACCAAGAGGAUGAGAUUUGCCUAUAGACACCUAAAUCAUAUUUAUUAAAGUCAUGAUCCUUUGAGGUCCCACCUGUGUCUAAGAUUAAAGCAAGAAACUGAGGAUGAAGAAAACUUGUUACUUAACAAAAUUGUUUGCCUCAAAGUGAAAGUGGUAAAAUAGUUCAAAUUCUUUAUUAAUCAUUGUUUCUAGAGACAUUUGAAGGUUAUUGCUUACUUUGAUAAUUAUCAUUAUGUUUUGAAAUUUAUUAGUGUGGAGAAAUAAGGAUGGGGCAAGUGUAUAUAUGGUGUUUCAAAUGGGGAACAAUUAAUAGGAUUGGGCAAAAUGUGUAAAAAUCAGGGUCAUAUUUUCCUGUCGUGUUCUGGCCACUCAUCAGCUGUCAGUUACACUCUUACACACCACCAAUUUAUUUUCCCCUUUGUUCCAACUCAUGGCAGCU
Monodelphis domestica (gray short-tailed opossum) is the source of this 859-nucleotide long non-coding RNA. RefSeq lists it as uncharacterized. Lineage: Eukaryota; Metazoa; Chordata; Mammalia; Didelphimorphia; Didelphidae. The record is from RefSeq and is a predicted model, not a curated record.